UGAGCCAUUAGCUCAGCUGGUAGAGCAUCUGACUUUUAAUCAGAGGGUCAGAGGUUCGAAUCCUUUAUGGCUCAU
This 75-nucleotide transfer RNA is filed under the name Staphylococcus aureus. RNAcentral describes it as "tRNA-Lys(ttt)". It matches the Rfam family "tRNA". Rfam says of the family: Transfer RNA (tRNA) molecules are approximately 80 nucleotides in length. The record is from RNAcentral. Lineage: Bacteria; Bacillati; Bacillota; Bacilli; Caryophanales; Staphylococcaceae.